RNAcentral lists this transfer RNA (66 nucleotides) under Tyrannodoris europaea. RNAcentral's name for it is "Roboastra europaea tRNA-Asp". Lineage: Eukaryota; Metazoa; Mollusca; Gastropoda; Nudibranchia; Polyceridae. The record is from RNAcentral.
ACCAGCCUAGUUUAUAAUAAAAUAAAAGUUUGUCAAGCUUUAGAAACAAAUUUAUUGUGGUUGGUC